GUCUCCAUGGCGCAAUCGGUUAGCGCGUUCGGCUGUUAACCGAAAGGUUCAAGUCCAUCUGGGGACG
RNAcentral lists this transfer RNA (67 nucleotides) under Paramuricea clavata. It matches the Rfam family "tRNA". Rfam says of the family: Transfer RNA (tRNA) molecules are approximately 80 nucleotides in length. Lineage: Eukaryota; Metazoa; Cnidaria; Anthozoa; Malacalcyonacea; Plexauridae. The record is from Rfam by way of RNAcentral.